Small nucleolar RNA from Myodes glareolus (Bank vole), 126 nucleotides. RefSeq annotates it as small nucleolar RNA SNORA40. The record is from RefSeq and is a predicted model, not a curated record. Lineage: Eukaryota; Metazoa; Chordata; Mammalia; Rodentia; Cricetidae.
CUUGUGUGUGUUUUUGUUUAACUGGUAACCAAAUACUAAAAGUUAAGAAAAAAAAAAAAAGCCUCCUUUCUGAUACAGAACUCAUUGCUCAGCAUGAGUUUUGAAAUGCAUGGUAAAAGAUGUGGU